CAGUCGCCGCGGUAAUACGUAGGGUCCGAGCGUUGUCCGGAAUUACUGGGCGUAAAGAGCUCGUAGGUGGUUUGUCGCGUUGUUCGUGAAAACUCACAACUCAAUUGUGGGCGUGCGGGCGAUACGGGCAGACUGGAGUACUGCAGGGGAGACUGGAAUUCCUGGUGUAGCGGUGGAAUGCGCAGAUAUCAGGAGGAACACCGGUGGCGAAGGCGGGUCUCUGGGCAGUAACUGACGCUGAGGAGCGAAAGCGUGGGGAGCGAACAGGAUUAGAUACCCCCGUAGUCCCUGUCUCUUAUAC
Molecule: ribosomal RNA, 301 nt
Filed under: uncultured bacterium
Lineage: Bacteria
Description: partial 16S ribosomal RNA
Rfam family: Bacterial small subunit ribosomal RNA
Source: RNAcentral